UGUUAUUUGUGGUGGAACGAGCAACAACGGUUAUGUUUGCGGCACUGUUGAUGGGUGCUUUGUGGUUUGCUGGUAGGGCGGCCAAAGGAUUUCUCUUUUCCUGACGGACUUUCUCCCGAGAAGAAUUCUCUUGGUAGGGUGCUAUAUCUAGGUUUGCUACGGUCUUGGGUGCGUUGAUCAGCGAGAGGGCGUAGCUAGCCAUGAUUAGCACUUGGGAAUGGGAGAGCUUAGCAAACUUUUGCACAAGGGAGAAGAGAGAGUCUUGGUGUGAAGAAAAGAGAGAGCCAUGGGUUGUUUAAAUAGGUUCUAUCGAGGUCAUAAAAACAGAAACAAACUUGAUUGUAGGCGGGG
Molecule: long non-coding RNA, 351 nt
Filed under: Sorghum bicolor (sorghum)
Lineage: Eukaryota; Viridiplantae; Streptophyta; Magnoliopsida; Poales; Poaceae
Description: long non-coding RNA (SBIC_LNC011156)
Source: RNAcentral